AUUGAACGCUGGCGGAAUGCUUUACACAUGCAAGUCGAGCGGCAGCACGGGGGCAACCCUGGUGGCGAGCGGCGAACGGGUGAGUAAUACAUCGGAACAUGCCCAGUCGUGGGGGAUAACACUUCGAAAGAAGUGCUAAUACCGCAUACGUCCUGAGGGAGAAAGCGGGGGAUCUUCGGACCUCGCGCGAUUGGAGUGGCCGAUGUCAGAUUAGCUAGUUGGUGGGGUAAAGGCCUACCAAGGCAACGAUCUGUAGCUGGUCUGAGAGGAUGAUCAGUCACACUGGAACUGAGACACGGUCCAGACUCCUACGGGAGGCAGCAGUGGGGAAUAUUGGACAAUUGGCGAAAGCCUGAUCCAGCCAUGCCGCGUGUGUGAAGAAGGUCUUCGGAUUGUAAAGCACUUUAAGUUGGGAGGAAGGGUUGUAGAUUAAUACUCUGCAAUUUUGACGUUACCGACAGAAUAAGCACCGGCUAACUCUGUGCCAGCCGCCGCGGUAA
RNAcentral lists this ribosomal RNA (500 nucleotides) under uncultured bacterium. Its description in RNAcentral is "partial 16S ribosomal RNA". It matches the Rfam family "Bacterial small subunit ribosomal RNA", at positions 30 to 523 of the family's 1533-position model. The record is from RNAcentral.